GACGAACGCUGGCGGCGUGCUUAACACAUGCAAGUCGAACGGAAAGGCCCUGCUUGCAGGGUACUCGAGUGGCGAACGGGUGAGUAACACGUGGGUGAUCUGCCCUGCACUUCGGGAUAAGCCUGGGAAACUGGGUCUAAUACCGGAUAGGAGCCAUUUUUAGUGUGAUGGUUGGAAAGUUUUUUCGGUGUAGGAUGAGCUCGCGGCCUAUCAGCUUGUUGGUGGGGUAAUGGCCUACCAAGGCGGCGACGGGUAGCCGGCCUGAGAGGGUGGACGGCCACAGUGGGACUGAGAUACGGCCCAGACUCCUACGGGAGGCAGAAGUGGGGAAUAUUGAACAAUGGGCGCAAGCCUGAUGCAGCGACGCCGCGUGGGGGAUGACGGCCUUCGGGUUGUAAACUCCUUUCGCUAGGGACGAAGAUUUUUGUGACGGUACCUAGAUAAGAAGCACCGGCUAACUACGUG
This 465-nucleotide ribosomal RNA is filed under the name uncultured bacterium. RNAcentral describes it as "partial 16S ribosomal RNA". It matches the Rfam family "Bacterial small subunit ribosomal RNA", at positions 28 to 507 of the family's 1533-position model. The record is from RNAcentral.